GACGAACGCUGGCGGCGUGCUUAACACAUGCAAGUCGAACGGUGAAGCGCCUUCCUUUUUGGUGGGUGUGGAUGAGUGGCGAACGGGUGAGUAACACGUGGGUAACCUGCCCCCUUCUUCUGGAUAACCGCAUGAAAGUGUGGCUAAUACGGGAUAUUCUGGGUCUGUCGCAUGAUGGGUCUGGGCAAGAUAUUGUUUCGGUGGGGGAUGGGCUCGCGGCCUAUCAGCUUGUUGGUGGGGUGAUGGCCUACCAAGGCGGUGACGGGUAGCCGGCCUGAGAGGGUGGACGGUCACACAGGGACUGAGACACGGCGCCGACUCCUACGGGAGGCAGCAGUGGGGAAUAUUGCACAAUGGGCGCAAGGCUGAUGCAGCGCCGCCGCGUGAGGGAUGGAGGCCUUCGGGUUGAGAACCUCUUUCGCCAGUGAAGCAGGCCUGCCUCGUUUGUGGGUGGGUUGACGGUAGCUGGAUAAGAAGCGCCGGCUAACUACGUG
This 494-nucleotide ribosomal RNA is filed under the name uncultured bacterium. RNAcentral's name for it is "partial 16S ribosomal RNA". It matches the Rfam family "Bacterial small subunit ribosomal RNA", at positions 28 to 507 of the family's 1533-position model. The record is from RNAcentral.